CUUGAAAGUAAUAAAAGAAAACUUUCUAAAGAAGCUUUCGAC
This 42-nucleotide small RNA is filed under the name Candidatus Jidaibacter acanthamoebae. RNAcentral's name for it is "Candidatus Jidaibacter acanthamoeba CRISPR-DR50". The record is from RNAcentral. Lineage: Bacteria; Pseudomonadati; Pseudomonadota; Alphaproteobacteria; Rickettsiales; Candidatus Midichloriaceae.